This 497-nucleotide ribosomal RNA is filed under the name Alternaria alternata. RNAcentral's name for it is "eukaryotic LSU rRNA". The stretch from base 145 to 298 matches the Rfam family "5.8S ribosomal RNA". The record is from RNAcentral. Lineage: Eukaryota; Fungi; Ascomycota; Dothideomycetes; Pleosporales; Pleosporaceae.
UGAACUCUCUGGGGUUAAGCCUUGCUGAAUUAUUCACCCUUGUCUUUUGCGUACUUCUUGUUUCCUUGGUGGGUUCGCCCACCACUAGGACAAACAUAAACCUUUUGUAAUUGCAAUCAGCGUCAGUAACAAAUUAAUAAUUACAACUUUCAACAACGGAUCUCUUGGUUCUGGCAUCGAUGAAGAACGCAGCGAAAUGCGAUAAGUAGUGUGAAUUGCAGAAUUCAGUGAAUCAUCGAAUCUUUGAACGCACAUUGCGCCCUUUGGUAUUCCAAAGGGCAUGCCUGUUCGAGCGUCAUUUGUACCCUCAAGCUUUGCUUGGUGUUGGGCGUCUUGUCUCUAGCUUUGCUGGAGACUCGCCUUAAAGUAAUUGGCAGCCGGCCUACUGGUUUCGGAGCGCAGCACAAGUCGCACUCUCUAUCAGCAAAGGUCUAGCAUCCAUUAAGCCUUUUUUCAACUUUUGACCUCGGAUCAGGUAGGGAUACCCGCUGAACUUA